CCUACGGGUGGCAGCAGUGGGGAAUCUUCCACAAUGGGGGAAACCCUGAUGCAGCGACGCCGCGUGAGUGAAGAAGUAUUUCGUUUCGUAAAGCUCUAUUAGCAGAGAAGAACAUGGAGGUAACUAAGUAAGAAGCCCCGGCUAACUACGUGCCAGCAGCCGAGGUAAUACGUAGGGGGAAAGCGUUAUCCGGAUUUACUGGGUGUAAAGGGAGCGUAGACGGUGCGGCAAGUCUGGAGUGAAAUGCCGCGGCUUAACUGCGGAAGUGCUUUGGAAACUGGCGAACUUGAGUGCGGGAGAGGUAAGUGGAAUUCCUAGUGUAGCGGUGAAAUGCGUAGAUAUUAGGAGGAACACCAGUGGCGAAGGCGGCUUUCUGGACCGUAACUGACGCUGAGGCUCGAAAGCGUGGGGAGCAAACAGGAUUAGAUACCCUAGUAGUC
Molecule: ribosomal RNA, 440 nt
Filed under: uncultured bacterium
Lineage: Bacteria
Description: partial 16S ribosomal RNA
Rfam family: Bacterial small subunit ribosomal RNA
Source: RNAcentral